UGACUCCUACAUGACCUUUGUUCUGAAUUU
RNAcentral lists this non-coding RNA (30 nucleotides) under Mus musculus (house mouse). Lineage: Eukaryota; Metazoa; Chordata; Mammalia; Rodentia; Muridae. The record is from RNAcentral.